This 347-nucleotide long non-coding RNA is filed under the name Parus major (Great Tit). RNAcentral describes it as "lncRNA (ENSPMJG00000005633.1)". The record is from RNAcentral. Lineage: Eukaryota; Metazoa; Chordata; Aves; Passeriformes; Paridae.
GACAGACACAGAGUGGAAAAGUAAAAUCUUAGGAGAGGUGAUCAGUUUGACAGCAUUUGGGGGAGGGGUUUACAGCCAACACGAGACGGAACACAAGAGAAACUCAGGGCUGAGGUUUCUGGGGAAGAGAUGAGAAUGGCCAUGCUCCUUCUGUGUCACAGGAGAGGAGUGAUGAUGGACACCAGCUUCUGACCCUGUCCACCUCGACAGAGUGCUUUCAUCUCAGCUAAAAAUAUCACAUUAAGACUCUUGGUAACCCAGCUGCUUCUUGCAAGGCCUCAGUGAUAACUGCUGACAAGUCAGAGAUAUUCUUUUGUCAGACAAGGAAGCUCAGCCAGUUGUAAAGG